GAUGAAGAACGUAGCGAAAUGCGAUAAGUAAUGUGAAUUGCAGAAUUCAGUGAAUCAUCGAAUCUUUGAACGCACCUUGCGCUCCUUGGUAUUCCGAGGAGCAUGCCUGUUUGAGUGUCAUGAAAUUCUCAACCUUUUCAGCUUUCUUUGUUGAUCAGGCUUGGAUGUGGGAGUAUGCGGGCUUCUCAGAAGUCGGCUCUCCUGAAAUGCAUUAGCGGGACCUUUGUUGCCUGGCUUUGGUGUGAUAAUUAUCUACGCCAUUGUAGUCAAGCAGCUUAAAAUGAGGUUUCAGCUUCUAACCGUCUCCCCUGAGACAACUUUUUGACAAUUUGACCUCAAAUCAGGUAGGACUACCCGCUGAACUUAAGCAUAUCAAAAGCGGAGGA
This 386-nucleotide unclassified non-coding RNA is filed under the name soil metagenome. RNAcentral's name for it is "partial contains 5.8S ribosomal RNA, internal transcribed spacer 2, and large subunit ribosomal RNA". The stretch from base 1 to 120 matches the Rfam family "5.8S ribosomal RNA", at positions 35 to 154 of the family's 154-position model. The record is from RNAcentral.